RNAcentral lists this long non-coding RNA (214 nucleotides) under Mastacembelus armatus (zig-zag eel). Its description in RNAcentral is "lncRNA (ENSMAMG00000025834.1)". Lineage: Eukaryota; Metazoa; Chordata; Actinopteri; Synbranchiformes; Mastacembelidae. The record is from RNAcentral.
AUGGGGAGGCUGGUGACCGCAGGAAGCGACAGAGGAGGAGGUGCUGUGUGUCGUGGUUUGCAGCUGCUGGUUCUUGCCAAAAAAAAAUUGUGCUUGGAUUUGCCUCAGGGAAUAGUUUGCUCAAAUGUUGAAAGGAAGAAAAAAAUUCAAGAGGUCUCAGUGGGCAAUGCAGGAAUCCACCCUGCCGGACUGCUGCUCUGACUCAUACACACAU